ACGGAGGGUGCGAGCGUUGUCCGGAAUCAUUGGGCGUAAAGGGCGUGUAGGCGGUUUGUUAAGUCAUGUGUGAAAGCCCCCGGCUCAACCGGGGAACGACGCAUGAAACUGGCAAGCUAGAGUACCGAAGAGGGGGGUGGAAUUCCCGGUGUAGCGGUGAAAUGCGUAGAUAUCUGGAGGAACACCAAUGGCGAAGGCAACUUCCUGGGGCAAUACUGACACUGAUGUGCGAAAGCGUGGGGAGCAAACAGGA
RNAcentral lists this ribosomal RNA (253 nucleotides) under uncultured prokaryote. Its description in RNAcentral is "partial 16S ribosomal RNA". It matches the Rfam family "Bacterial small subunit ribosomal RNA", at positions 525 to 777 of the family's 1533-position model. The record is from RNAcentral.